Molecule: long non-coding RNA, 240 nt
Filed under: Elaeis guineensis (African oil palm)
Lineage: Eukaryota; Viridiplantae; Streptophyta; Magnoliopsida; Arecales; Arecaceae
Description: long non-coding RNA (EGUI_LNC036168)
Source: RNAcentral
GGCCGAUCUAUGUCACCUUACUUCGAUUAUCGACUGACAUGAUUAUUAACACUACAUGCAUGAUACCCAAUUCAGACGGUCAUCGAUAUCAGCUAUUUUAUAUCGGUCUAUUAUCAACGUAUCACCAGAGGUAUAGACAGUUAUCUGACCAUUGUCAUUCAACUCAGCAUUAACUAUCUUCCAGCUAUGUUCCAGUUUAUCACCAUGUGGGCAAAUACCUCACGAUCUCCACACAGCUAG